CUACGGGCGGCAGCAGUGGGGAAUCUUGCGCAAUGGACGAAAGUCUGACGCAGCGACUUCGCGUGGAGGAUGAAGCCUUAAGGGGUGUAAACUUCUUUUCUGGGGGAAGACGAAUGACGGUACCUCAGGAAUAAGGGACGGCUAACUACGUGCCAGCAGCCGCGGUAAUACGUAGGUCUCGAGCGUUAUCCGGAGUUACUGGGCGUAAAGAGUCCGUAGCCGGCUAAUUAAGUCUACUUUCAAAGACCGGAGCUCAACUUCGGGAAGGGAGUAGAUACUGAUUAGCUAGAGAUAGGUAGAGGUUAGUGGAAUUUCCGGUGGAGGGGUGGAAUCCGUUGAUAUCGGAAGGAAUGCCGAAAGCGAAAGCAGCUGGCUAUACCUUUUCUGACGGUGAAGGACGAAAGCAUGGGUAGCAAACAGGAUUAGAUACCCUGGUAGUC
This 440-nucleotide ribosomal RNA is filed under the name uncultured bacterium. Its description in RNAcentral is "partial 16S ribosomal RNA". It matches the Rfam family "Bacterial small subunit ribosomal RNA", at positions 339 to 795 of the family's 1533-position model. The record is from RNAcentral.